GCGGGCGUGGUGGAACGGUAGACACGCCGGCCUUAGGAGCCGGUGCUCGCAAGAGCGUGGGGGUUCGAAUCCCUCCGCCCGCA
RNAcentral lists this transfer RNA (83 nucleotides) under Thermoleophilum album. It matches the Rfam family "tRNA". Rfam says of the family: Transfer RNA (tRNA) molecules are approximately 80 nucleotides in length. The record is from Rfam by way of RNAcentral. Lineage: Bacteria; Bacillati; Actinomycetota; Thermoleophilia; Thermoleophilales; Thermoleophilaceae. RNAcentral also lists the same sequence under 2 other names.